Non-coding RNA from Labrus bergylta (ballan wrasse), 6075 nucleotides. Lineage: Eukaryota; Metazoa; Chordata; Actinopteri; Labriformes; Labridae. The record is from RefSeq and is a predicted model, not a curated record.
GUGUCACGAAUAUGUGCCAUGUUCAUUGCCAUGGCAACAAGCUGGCGAGAGGUAUUCCGAGGUGAAAUCUGCUCGAGGGAGAAUAAAGAACCUCUAAGGUUUUAAUCCACAACCUUAAGACAGGCCGCGACAGCAGACCCCCAGGCACCGGCUGGACCAUUUUCAGGCAGGCAGGCAGAGCGACUCAAGGCAGAGCGACUGGCAGAAGAGAGGCAAGCAAGUGAGCGAGUGAAUCAGCAGCGAAUGAGUAGAGGAGCUGUGCGGAGCUGAGCACCGGAAUGAGAGAGAGGGAGGAAGAGAGCGAGCGAGAGAGAGGAGGAGUGUUUGUCUGUGUGAUUGUGCAUGUGUAUGCGUGUGUGUGUGUGUUGCAGCGUUGGCUGUGUGCGCUAGUGUCUCCCCUCCCCUGCCUCUUGAAGUGGCUGAGACUGGGCUGUGUCUCUACUGACUCCCUAGCCUCUGGAUCUUCAGUCUGCUGCCCGAGGAAAGUGGCGCUCGCUGGGUGGCAGUAGCAACAGCUGUGGAAGAGGAGGAGGAGGAGAAGGAAGAAGAAGAAGAAGAGGAGGAGGAGGAGGAGGGAGCCCCGACUGCACUGGUCAUACAGAUUCUGCAGUGCCUUCUCCCUCUCUCUGUUUUCACUGCUAAAAGCUGGCCACGCCCCCCUAAAACAACACCAGGAAGUGCUGGUUCAGUUACAGCAACACUGCCCUUGCCUUACAUAUGAAGCUGAGGGAGGAGAGAAGGGGAGAGGGAGGGAGGGAGGGAAGGAGCAAGAGAGGAAACAUUGAGAAAACACAGUAAAGAGAUAAAGAAGGAGAAAAGCAUGAAAGCAAGUUACAAAGAAGAAAGCACAAGUCAUGCUCAGUGUGGUGGAAAAUAUGAUGAUAGGAAAUAAUUUACAGGGAGUUGGCAAAGCAUUAGUUGGGCUUAUGUCUGGAUCCCCUCUCUCAUGCUAUCUUUUCUACUGCAAUUAUGCUAUGGCAAGCAACCUAAUGAUAACUCUCCUCAAACUCAAAGUAGCACACUAUACUGUAAAAGCAGAGCAUGCUAAACUGCACUAAAUCAAGCUGGGCUAUGCUAGUAAGAAUCUAUAAAUCCAGACUAACACAGAGUGUAUAAAUACUCUAGAAAUGACCUCUGCAGGCUGGUUGCAGGCCAGCAACCCAUAAUAAAAAAGGCCAACCCAGACAACAAUAAGAUAACUGCUGCUGCCAACUCUCUUGUAUUGUUGUUGACUCAAGGCUUCUGCCGCCACAACCCCGUACAUCCAGGGAAAAGCCAGAGAGGCAGAAGGAGCCUCCAAGAAUUUGAUUUGGACCUGAUGCCGCAAUAUCCGGUAGCCAUGGAGAUAGUGGCCUUGGCAUCUGCAGGAAUCUUUAUAGAUUUUGUGCUGUGUGCUGGCGUCAAGUUUUCUGUCUGAUCCUAUAUAUUGUCUAUAACUCACUUCGGGGGAUUGGGAUUGAGGAUGAAGUGCAUUCGAAAUGCUGCCUGUUUGGAAUGUUGAAAUAAUCUUGCAACGUGUUUUUAUCUCAAAGAAAGCUAAUUCCACACAAUCCAGUUCCACCGAGACCACACCGGCGUUACUAUUGUUACAGACAUAGGAACACUUUCUAUCCUCAGUAUAUUUGCAUAUACACAUGUAACAGUGCACAGAAAUAUCCAAAUGCCUCCCCUAUGUAAAACUAGUCACAGCUGUCUUUCUGUUCUAACCUCUUCCAUCUUUCUUUGGACCAGUUUCUACUGCUGCAACACUGUUCAAUACAAAGCCUGUGAUAAGUCAUCUCUAAUUUACACAGCACACCCUUAAACCCUGGGUGACAAUCUGUGUUAGAGCCCCAGCUGCAGUGCUAACCUUUUACCUAGCCUCUAUUCUGGUGCAAUAAGCCUGUGUAUCCAGACAGAACAAAACAUGUAUGAUUCAGCCAAAAGGUUGAUGUCAUGGUGCUAUUUUUUUCUGAAUUGAUCAAGUUUUUAUAAUCAGUGCCAUUAUUAGCUCCAAUAGCAAUAUCCACGCCUUGAUCAACUUCCAAACAUCAUUGGGUAAUAAUGAAAGGAAAUCUUUUUUUAACCAUUGAACAGCCCCUCUGCUGUAGGAAAACAUGCAGUAUGCCUUUUAGAUUAGCAGAACAAUUUGUUUGACUGCUGAUCAAUGGAAGGAGCGGGUCACUAUAAACUCCAAAUGGAAUUUUCCUUGACCCAUAACGAAAAAACACUGUGAUUGAUGUUUCACUGGCUCGAUUGUAGACACAUUAGCAACGCCUCCAAAGAUCUGGGUUUUCUGCGAAACUCAGACACUGACGUGGAAUUUCCCCUCUUCUGCUGCAGCUGAGCUCAUGCCAGUGCUUCGGCUUCUUUCUUUCUCAGUUUCUGUCUUAUACUUCACUGCUACUCCAUAUUCCUUAUUCAUGAUCAUUAUUUUGUAUGUGUUUAUAUAAAGCUUUUCAUCAUCUUCUUGCAAUUUCUGAAUACAUCUUAAUCCCCCUAAAUAUUCCCCCUCAACAGACCCUUAUUCCCCUUCUCUAAUUUGGGCUAAAAAUAUAUAGCCAAGCUUUGCAGUUACCACAUGGUUUGCUCAUUUGGUGAAACGAGUAAAGCGGUAAAAGUUUAAUUCUGACAAAAGAAAUAAUAGGAGCCUAUUUCCCAUUCUCUAGUUUGUUGUUCUUCAUAUGAGGUGGAAUCAACCAUAUAUUUUCACUUCCUACUUCUCAUGUCAUGUGUCUCACAGAUAAGAGGAUGGUGUGACCGUUACUCUCUGAGAUCAUAGAGGGCUUAGAGCGGUUAGAGUAUGAGCAAAGAGCAACAGGAAUCAACAUACUGGUGGUUGAGCAAACUGUGCAGACACACUUACCAACCGAAAACAGGAAGAGGUGUGUGCAGUGUAGUUAAAAGGGGAAUACCACCUAUUUUACACAUCAAGAUGAGUGAACUGCUCAUGGGGACUACUUAGAUGCUGAAAAAAAGAAGUAUAAAGUCUAGUCUGAGAAAGUACGGUUUGUAUUAUUGGAAUUGUAGUAUUCUCUGGUAUAUCAAUUUUGGUUAUACUUUUACUACCUAUCUUUACAAGACUUUAAAAAAUAAUGAAGGGGGGGGGGUCCUAAUUUGAAAAGAGUGGAGCAAGAGUAGUUUAAAAAAAUAUGUAUAUAUUCCAGAAAGACCCACACACAUUAAUCCUCUUCAAUCACUUUUCUGAAGUCAGCACAGGCUGGCAUUGGUGACCCCUCUUCCUCAGUCCAAACCAUAGAUCCAAACCCUUCAACCUCUGUCCACUCUUAUUUUCUCUCCUUCCUCCCCUGAUGAACGCACCUUUCCAUCUUAGGUUUCCCUAUCAUCUCAGCGCUAUGCUAUUUCCCAGCCCUCUGUAAAUGACACUGGCUGGCUGAUGUGAACUCUCACUCCACUGAGGAAAUGUCCCAGAGCUUUGUGUGCCAAGCUCUGACGGCUCAUCUAUCACUAAGGCCGCAAAUACACAUUACACUCCCAUUACAGACCAUCAGAGCAACAACUGCAACAGUACACAGCCUUGCAGAAGGGCCCACAGCAGAGAGCUGCAUACAAUCAUGUUAUAAACAUGCUUCAUAUAACUUAUAAAUUCACAUGUUAGCGGGAAAGUUGUGAAUGUGUCAUACGAACAAAUAUCGUACUUUUAUACUUUAAAUGAAAAGGCCUGUUUCCCUGCUGCAUACUUUGUGGUUUCCCCUUAACUUCUUUCCACUUAGACACAGUGAGGGGAAGCAGGUGCAAUCCAAGCUGUCAAGUUUGAAAUACAGAGAGAGGAAAUAGCACACUGUCUUGUCCCCAUCUGACAUUAUUGUAAGAUGGGGUGUUUGCGCUUGUGCAUGCGCCAUCCAAGCUUGAAGCUUAUCUUGGAGAUAAAAUGCAAAAUGAAAUGGAAACACCCUUCGCAAAGAGGCCUUUCACUUUAGCUUUCAGCAAUAUUAUAGUCUAACUGCAGAUAUACUGCCUCAAAUAUUAAAUACACCUCAUUACAUCCCAAACUUCUCACAAAAUGUCACAGUAAAGAGAAGCAUCAAACAAAGUGGUUUCGUGAAUUUAACUAUGAAUACGGACCGUCAUACAGCUGGGAAACUAUUUUUUCCAAAAAUAUCACAGAAACUUUUGUUUGUUGAAAUCUUAAUUAAUUACUAAAUUGUAAUAUAUUACAAAAAAAACAGAGAAAAUCCAGAUGAAAUGUCAAUAAAAGUUAUUCCUACAGUGAGUAACCUAAAAGCCAGUAAAGCUUACCUGUUUGUCUGACUAAUGCUGACGUGCCACUGAAACAAACGAAGCCGCUUCAACACAGGUCACACUGACGCAGUGCAUUGUGGGAUGAACCCACUCAUGUUAAUUUCUCUCUUCCUCUACUUCACUCACUCCCAUCUCUCUCACUCUCAUAAUAGCACCUUCUGCUUGGCAACGUCCAUACCACAAAUGUGGUCAGGUUUGUAUUGAACCAUCACUGCGCAACAUCAAGUCUCCAUGACAACCACUCCUUAUCUCAUUUGCAUCUCCUGCUUGCAUUAUGUGCUGAUGCCAAAUAUGGUCACCUUGUACCUUUCCCCGCCUCUUUCUGCAUCCCCUUUUUAUAACUUCCUCUUCCCCUCCAUUUUCACAACUGUGUGUUUGCACUUUAUGUCUGAUGUGCAUGCAAACAAACAACGGCAUUUACUCAUGAGCACAGUUUCUGAGUGUGAGAAAAGAGGAAGUGAUUGUGACAUUAGACCAGUUUGCAGCUCGCUUUUUAAAAUUAGGAAGUGUGGUGCUGUUCAAGAAAGUGCGGUGUGUUAUCACAAUCCUCCGAGGGCUGGUAGUACAUCUUCACAUGAUUUCACUUACCCAUCAUUGCUCCUUCUAUGAAGUUGGUGCAGGCAUUUAGCUUCAUCCUCUUCCUCCGGCAGGGAGUAUGUCUAUCAAGCUAUUGCUGGAAUGUUGAACCAGGCCCCUGGAGCCCACACAAAGCGAAACUCAGCAGCACUCAGCACCUGUCUUCCUCUGCCAGUACAGAGAAAGAGAAACGGUCAAUCAGCCUGGACAGCACAGCAAAGGAGAACGAGCAGAGGGGAGUGGGAGACAGACAAGCAUUUCAUCAGCAGAAAAACAAAGUGAGCAAGUUGUAUGUUAUGUGCAAAAUAUCACAUGAAGAUUACAGCACUUAACUUUUGAAAUAAAUCAAUUAUGGUGUCUUGUCUUAUUUACAAUACUGAUGAAAACUGACUAAACAAGUUGCAGCCUCCGUCUCAAAUAUGAAUUUUCUUCAUGUGACAAACUGAACAUGAAUGGCAACACUAGACAUAAGGUUUUAAGGGUGAUCUAUUGCUUUAAUUUCAGAGACCUUGUUUUUUUAUUUAUGCAUUUAAAAUGUCAUAAAAACAACAAAUGUAGUGCAUCUGCUCUUUUAUCUUGACAACCCUCAUUUGUUAUAAUCAACAGGUAUCUUUCCAAGGGGGAAUAAUCAUUUGAUGUUUCACUUGUUUAGAGUUAAGAGGACCUCUUUGUCUUUGACCUUACAGUGACACUUUUUGUACCAGCCAGGGGGUUCCUUAUCUAUUUUUUUUUUCAGGGGCCCAAGAGAAUUACAAUGCAAAGAAGCUUUCCCGGGCAGCAUCUGGAGAAGCUCUGAGGAAGCAUCAGAGGCCCUGAGCAGCAGCUAGCCUACCCUCCUCUGGGCUGCAGGGCUGCUGGGACUUGGGGGAAUGGAAGUCAAUGAAACCAGGCUUAAUUUAGCCUCUGCUGCUCUUCAAGCUGCCAGGAAUCGGAGUGAGACUCUUCCCUUUUUAGGGCUCUCUGGACUCUGGAGUCUGCAAGUGGCACUACCGAUGCUGGAGAAAGAGGCUACAGCCAAAACGUGUUACAUGGAAAUUACAUUAUCAUUUUUAUCAAGGUCUAACAGUCGUAACCCGACACGUUGGGAACUAUGUACACAUUUAACAAAGCCUUCGGUUAUUCAAAUGACUCAGCUGUAAGAUUAUUAAACUGCCAGUUUGGACACUUUUACAACCAUCCUAUCUUUACUCCACUUUCAGCUGAUACAAGGACAGCUUGGUCCUGUAAAAUACUGAGACACAUUGCCCACUAUCACAA